This 253-nucleotide ribosomal RNA is filed under the name uncultured bacterium. Its description in RNAcentral is "partial 16S ribosomal RNA". It matches the Rfam family "Bacterial small subunit ribosomal RNA", at positions 524 to 776 of the family's 1533-position model. The record is from RNAcentral.
UACGGGGGGGGCUAGCGUUGUUCGGAAUUACUGGGCGUAAAGCGCACGUAGGCGGGUUAGUAAGUAGGGUGUGAAAUCCCCGGGCUCAACCCGGGAACUGCCUUCUAGACUGCAAGCCUGGAGGUCAGGAGAGGCGAGUGGAAUUCCGGGUGUAGAGGUGAAAUUCGUAGAUAUUCGGAGGAACACCAGUGGCGAAGGCGACUCGCUGGACUGAUACUGACGCUGAGGUGCGAAAGCGUGGGGAGCAAACAGG